CCUACGGGGGGCAGCAGUGGGGAAUAUUGCACAAUGGGGGAAACCCUGAUGCAGCGACGCCGCGUGAGUGAAGAAGCGCCUCGGCGCGUAAAGCUCUGUCAGCAGGAACGACGAUGACGGUACCUGAAGAAGAAGCCCCGGCUAACUACGUGCCAGCAGCCGCGGUAAUACGGAGGAUUCAAGCGUUAUCCGGAUUUAUUGGGUUUAAAGGGUGCGUAGGCGGUUCGAUAAGUUAGAGGUGAAAUCCCGGGGCUCAACUCCGGCACUGCCUCUGAUACUGUCGGGCUAGAGUUUAGUUGCGGUAGGCGGAAUGUAUGGUGUAGCGGUGAAAUGCAUAGAGAUCAUACAGAACACCGAUUGCGAAGGCAGCUUACCAAACUACGACUGACGUUGAGGCACGAAAGCGUGGGGAGCAAACAGGAUUAGAUACCCGUGUAGUC
RNAcentral lists this ribosomal RNA (440 nucleotides) under uncultured bacterium. RNAcentral describes it as "partial 16S ribosomal RNA". It matches the Rfam family "Bacterial small subunit ribosomal RNA", at positions 338 to 795 of the family's 1533-position model. The record is from RNAcentral.